CGCUGCGGCGUGCUUAACACAUGCAAGUCGAACGGGAUAGCACUGGAAGCCCUUCGGGGUGAAGGAGUUAUCGAGUGGCGGACGGGUGAGUAACGCGUGAGCAAUCUGUCCCAGACAGGGGGAUAACACUUGGAAACAGGUGCUAAUACCGCAUGAGACCACGGCAUCGCAUGGUGCUGAGGUAAAAAGGAGAAAACCGGUUUGGGGUGAGCUCGCGUCCGAUUAGCCAGUUGGCGGGGUAACGGCCCACCAAAGCGACGAUCGGUAGCCGACCUGAGAGGGUGAUCGGCCACAUUGGAACUGAGAGACGGUCCAAACUCCUACGGGAGGCAGCAGUGGGGAAUAUUGGGCAAUGGGCGAAAGCCUGAACCCCCAGCAACGCCGCGUGAGUGAAGAAGGCCUUCGGGUUGUAAAGCUCUGUUACAGGUGACGAAGAGCGUGACGGUAAUCUGUAAGGAAGCCCCGGCUAACUACGUGCCAGCCGCUGC
Molecule: ribosomal RNA, 488 nt
Filed under: uncultured bacterium
Lineage: Bacteria
Description: bacterial SSU rRNA
Rfam family: Bacterial small subunit ribosomal RNA
Source: RNAcentral